GCCUACGGGAGGCAGCAGUGGGGAAUAUUGGGCAAUGGGCGCAAGCCUGACCCAGCAACGCCGCGUGAAGGAAGAAGGCUUUCGGGUUGUAAACUUCUUUUCUCAGGGACGAAGAAAGUGACGGUACCUGAGGAAUAAGCCACGGCUAACUACGUGCCAGCAGCCGCGGUAAUACGUAUGGAGCAAGCGUUGUCCGGAAUUACUGGGCGUAAAAGGCGCGUAGGUGGGCGCUUAAGUCAGGUGUGAAAACUCCG
RNAcentral lists this ribosomal RNA (254 nucleotides) under uncultured bacterium. RNAcentral describes it as "partial 16S ribosomal RNA". It matches the Rfam family "Bacterial small subunit ribosomal RNA", at positions 337 to 605 of the family's 1533-position model. The record is from RNAcentral.